AUUGAACGCUGGCGGCAGGCUUAACACAUGCAAGUCGAGCGAGCGGCGGACGGGUGAGUAAUGUAUGGGAAACUGCCUGAUGGCGGGGGAUAACUACUGGAAACGGUAGCUAAUACCGCAUACCAUCAGAUGUGCCCAGAUGGGGUGAGCUAGUAGGUGGGGUAAUGGCUCACCUAGGCGACGCUCCCUAGCUGGUCUGAGAGGAUGACCAGCCACACUGGAACUGAGACACGGUCCAGACUCCUACGGGAGGCAGCAGGGGGGAAUAUGGCACAAUGGGCGCAAGCCUGAUGCAGCCAUGCCGCGUGAGUGAAGAAGGCCUUCGGGUUGUAAAGCACUUUCAGCGAGGAGGCGUUAAUCGAAGAAGAAGCACCGGCUAACUCCGGGCCAGCCGCCGCGGUAAUUC
RNAcentral lists this ribosomal RNA (406 nucleotides) under uncultured bacterium. RNAcentral describes it as "partial 16S ribosomal RNA". It matches the Rfam family "Bacterial small subunit ribosomal RNA", at positions 29 to 526 of the family's 1533-position model. The record is from RNAcentral.